RNAcentral lists this ribosomal RNA (371 nucleotides) under uncultured bacterium. RNAcentral describes it as "bacterial SSU rRNA". It matches the Rfam family "Bacterial small subunit ribosomal RNA", at positions 507 to 878 of the family's 1533-position model. The record is from RNAcentral.
GCCAGCAGCCGCGGUAAUACGGAGGGGGUUAGCGUUGUUCGGAAUUACUGGGCGUAAAGCGUACGUACGCGGAUUAGUCAGUCAGAGGUGAAAUCCCAGGGCUCAACCCUGGAACUGCCUUUGAUACUGCUGCCUCCGAUAACGAGAGAGGUGAGUGGAAUUCCAAGUGUAGAGGUGAAAUUCGUAGAUAUUUGGAGGAACACCAGUGGCGAAGGCGGCUCACUGGCUCGAUACUGACGCUGAGGUACGAAAGUGUGGGGAGCAAACAGGAUUAGAUACCCUGGUAGUCCACACCGUAAACGAUGAAUGCCAGUCGUCGGGCAGUAUACUGUUCGGUGACACACCUAACGGAUUAAGCAUUCCGCCUGGGG